UACGAAGGGUGCAAGCGUUACUCGGAAUUACUGGGCGUAAAGCGUGCGUAGGUGGUUUGUUAAGUCUGUUGUGAAAGCCCCGGGCUCAACCUGGGAAUGGCAAUGGAUACUGGCAAGCUAGAGUGCGGUAGAGGGUAGUGGAAUUCCCGGUGUAGCGGUGAAAUGCGUAGAGAUCGGGAGGAACACCAGUGGCGAAGGCGGCUACCUGGACCAGCACUGACACUGAGGCGCGAAAGCGUGGGGAGCAAACAGG
RNAcentral lists this ribosomal RNA (253 nucleotides) under uncultured bacterium. RNAcentral describes it as "partial 16S ribosomal RNA". It matches the Rfam family "Bacterial small subunit ribosomal RNA", at positions 524 to 776 of the family's 1533-position model. The record is from RNAcentral.